Molecule: ribosomal RNA, 253 nt
Filed under: uncultured bacterium
Lineage: Bacteria
Description: partial 16S ribosomal RNA
Rfam family: Bacterial small subunit ribosomal RNA
Source: RNAcentral
UACAGAGGGGGCAAGCGUUGUUCGGAAUUACUGGGCGUAAAGGGCGCGUAGGCGGCCGCCUAAGUCAGACGUGAAAUCCCUCGGCUCAACCGGGGAACUGCGUCUGAUACUGGGUGGCUUGAAUCCGGGAGAGGGAUGCGGAAUUCCAGGUGUAGCGGUGAAAUGCGUAGAUAUCGGGAGGAACACCGGUGGCGAAGGCGGCCCCCUGGUUGGAUACUGACGCUGAGACGCGAAAGCGUGGGGAGCAAACAGG